GGCAGAUGAUAACGUGUUCAACUGGCAAGCCGUAGACACUCUUCUGCUUCACCUAUCUGUUCACUCUUGUAGGCAAACGAUUAACGUUCCCCGCUUUGUUGCUACGAAAGCUAGCGUUUAGCUUGCUGAUUAUUGACGCUCCUCUCUUCACUUCAAAGCUGCGCUGUUAAUUCGCACUCGAGCUAAAGCAUCUUUCAAAAGCACUCGGUCGAGAAUGUGUUAUACUGAGGCCUUUUAAAUUUAUAGAAAAGCUGCUCUUCCCGAUUAAAUGCGAUGAGAUUAAAUCCAAAGACUGCUUGGGUCCGUCGGAGUCUGUCUGCAGCGGCAUCCCUUUCGACCUGAAUUCACAAAGAGGAGCUUAUUAGCUAAAUCAAGUCGCUUUUUUCUAAGCGACUUGAUCAGAAGAGAAGCAACUAACGAGCUACCUAGGUUUGUAAUUUACCGAAACGGGUUAAGAGUUCUUCAAAUCGUGUAACACCUCAAAGACACAUCUACUCUCUCGAAAACAACGGAACUUACUGUAUUGUAACCCAGCCCCUUUUUUGCCUAGGUUUAUGAAUACGCCCACUUUACCUAAUGUCCUAUCAUGAUUGGUUGUCAACACACAUUACAACUGAUGUGAUUGGUUAAAUGUUGUUCGGUCAAUUUCGAGGCAAGAACUGUGUCAAAUGUCUUGACUGCUUAUCGCAACGCAGCUGCUAAAACGAAAACUGCGCACCAAGAGUUGUUUUGCUUGUAUUUAACACAUGUAUGUCUUCUAUUCGAAACCUGUCUAGGAUUCAGAACAGUUUUUGCAUAAAUACAUAGAUGAAAUAGUCACUGGCCUGCUGUGAAUAUAUUUUCUCAUUAAUUAAAAGGUCCAGUUUGAUAUUUGAACUCAAGUUAUUAUUAAGUUUUUGCAUAUUUGACGCCCAGUGUCGUAAUGGGUAGGGCCAUCAGCCACAUGGGUAGGGACUGUGGGUUCUAGUAAACAUGGUUUAUAAUGCAGUAGGACCAAGUUACAAUAGUAACGCUGUCACCAAUACAGGCGCUCCAGGACCAUGUUGCUCCCAAUGUGCAGUUCUGUUUCUGGGUGAGCCAGCAGAGAGAGGAGGGUGUGGACCAUCUGGUACUCCAAAGAAAAGUAAAUGGGCCCAUGUCACCUGAACUGCAAAGGGUAAGUGUGCACACAAAGGUUUUCAUACUCAAUUUCACAAAGUCUAUAGGAACUGGUGAUGCAUCUACUUGUUUACAGAAUGAUAUUCUUUAGUUUUCUCUGCUCACCUGAGAAGUACAUGUGACUGUGUACACCAGAAACCAGCAGACAUGAAGCAGGUCAGUAAUAGCUUGUACCAACAUUUAAGUACCAGAGCUUCCGUAGGGAAAAGGGGUAUUUCAGAAUAAAGAUGCAGUAUUUCAAGAAUACUUUUGAAAAUAUUAAGUAAUGUUUAGGAAAUGUAGCCGUAAAUGCAUUUCAUUGUUUACCAGUCAAGUACAUGUCACUUACUUUUCUGGAUGUAUGUGUUACUGUACAUAUACUAGGGACAUCUUAUUGAACUCAGUAUGGCUUUACUGAUGAAAAAGGAGUUCACUGUCACAGUAUAACCAGGAUACGAUAUACUGUAUAUUUGUGCAAACAUAACAAGAGUGGACAUUAACUUGUGGACCCGUUCCCAGUGUUACUUCCUGUCAGCUGACAUCCAGGUGAGUUUACAGUCUGUGUUUCAGUUUCUGUUCUUAGAGAGUGGAGGCUUUCAUCAGCGCCUGAUCCCCAAACAGCUGCUUGAAGUGAACCACGUGCUCCUCACAGUGCUCUCCUGCAAGGAGGGGGGACAGGUAUGAGUUAUGGAUUAGAGCAGUGGUGGGAUACUACAAUUUGGAGGGUUGAAUGCGGGGUUUCCUCUCAGCCUCUGGUUCCUUUGCUGGAAGGAUCUGAACACGGUGUAGAACAACAUCUGAUCCUCCGUCUGCCGCGCAGCAUCCAGGAACUUUCGAGAGGACACAUUAUCAUGGCCGCCUGGAAACACACUCAAAAUAAAUAAAAUCGAAACGUACCGACACUGCGGAUGAAUCUGAGCGCGCCCAGAACCUGCUGCUUGGACAGCAGGACCUCCACGAUCUCAUCGUUGGCCGUAGACAGACGCUGAAAACAACAGCAAUUUAAAUAAAGCCGUUUAAAUAACGUUUUUCUGUUUAAA
Molecule: long non-coding RNA, 2177 nt
Organism: Eleginops maclovinus (Patagonian blennie)
Lineage: Eukaryota; Metazoa; Chordata; Actinopteri; Perciformes; Eleginopidae
Exons: 5
Source: RefSeq, a predicted model, not a curated record